This 465-nucleotide ribosomal RNA is filed under the name Vreelandella stevensii. RNAcentral describes it as "partial 16S ribosomal RNA". It matches the Rfam family "Bacterial small subunit ribosomal RNA", at positions 338 to 795 of the family's 1533-position model. Lineage: Bacteria; Pseudomonadati; Pseudomonadota; Gammaproteobacteria; Oceanospirillales; Halomonadaceae. The record is from RNAcentral.
CCUACGGGCGGCAGCAGUGGGGAAUAUUGGACAAUGGGGGCAACCCUGAUCCAGCCAUGCCGCGUGUGUGAAGAAGGCCCUCGGGUUGUAAAGCACUUUCAGUGAGGAAGAACGCCUGGUGGUUAAUACCCAUCAGGAAAGACAUCACUCACAGAAGAAGCACCGGCUAACUCCGUGCCAGCAGCCGCGGUAAUACGGAGGGUGCGAGCGUUAAUCGGGAUUACUGGGCGUAAAGCGCGCGUAGGUGGCUUGAUAAGCCGGUUGUGAAAGCCCCGGGCUCAACCUGGGAACGGCAUCCGGAACUGUCAAGCUAGAGUGCAGGAGAGGAAGGUAGAAUUCCCGGUGUAGCGGUGAAAUGCGUAGAGAUCGGGAGGAAUACCAGUGGCGAAGGCGGCCUUCUGGACUGACACUGACACUGAGGUGCGAAAGCGUGGGUAGCAAACAGGAUUAGAUACCCCUGUAGUC